GAUGAACGCUGGCGGCAUGCCUAACACAUGCAAGUCGGACGGGCAGUGGUGUUUCUAGUGGCGGACGGGUGAGUCACGCGUAUGAACCUGCCCUUGGGAGGGGUACAACAACUGGAAACGGUUGCUAAUACACCGUAGGCAACGGUGCAUAAUACGGCAUCCGCUUGAGGAGGGCCUGGCGUCGGAUUAGCUAGUUGGUGAGGAAAUAGCGUACCAAGACGAUGAUCAGAAUCAGGGCUGAGUGGAUGAGCAGCCACACUGGGACUGAGACACGGGCCGGACUCCUACGGGAGGCAGCGGUAGGGAAAUUGCCGCAAUGGGCGAAAGCCUAACAGGGCAAUGGCGCGUGGAGGUAGGAGGCCCACGGAGAGUGAGCGUCUUUGCGCGAAGAAGAAACAGUGACGGUAUCUGAGGAAUAAGCAUCGGCUAACUCUGUG
Molecule: ribosomal RNA, 437 nt
Filed under: uncultured bacterium
Lineage: Bacteria
Description: partial 16S ribosomal RNA
Rfam family: Bacterial small subunit ribosomal RNA
Source: RNAcentral